This is a long non-coding RNA of Apis laboriosa (Himalayan honeybee), 1659 nucleotides long. RefSeq lists it as uncharacterized. The transcript has 7 exons. The record is from RefSeq and is a predicted model, not a curated record. NCBI's taxonomy places the organism in Eukaryota, Metazoa, Arthropoda, Insecta, Hymenoptera, Apidae.
AGAUCAGAUUGCAAUCGAAACUUGAUUAGAAUGAAUCUCUACAAAUACACGAAGUGUUAUUGUAAUUCGUGAGACAUCUUUGGAGUCGAUUUUUGAGGCCAAAGCAAACAAAAGUUGAUAUACAAAAAUUAAAGAUAUUUCAAGAUUUUCGAACGAAGAAGAAGAAAAUUUUUUCCACGAAGAGAAAAAUCGAGCGAUCGAGAUCCGAAAAGUGCUCGAUGAAGAAAGAAAAAAUUUACACAUAGGCCCAAUGAAGAUUCCAUCGAAAAAGGAAGAUCAAUCGAUCGACUCAAUUGAGAAAUUAUCAUAUCUUAAUAAAUAUAAUAGAUCUCCUGAAACAUUCUCGAUAAAGAAUGUCUAUAUACUCGGAAAAAAAAAAAAAAAAAAAAAAAAUAGAAGGUGCACGGAAGAAUCCGUGGAACAGGGACCAGGCUCAGAAAAGGAGGAAAGGAAGAUGGAGGGUCAGGCGAAAAAGGAAGAGGCAGUCGAUCGAGGAUUAAGUAGUCGAGGUGAUCUCGCGCACUUAGGGCUACAAGGGAUAAAGCUCCGGCACUGUCAGUGGGCAGGGUGGGACGAAGGGUGGACCAACCGGUCCUCGAGGUUGCCUCGGCUUAUUCAGUCAACGAACUCUGCGGGCCUACGACGUGACACUGACCCCUCCAGGGUAAACGUCCCUGGCCGGUCGCUUUAUCAAUGUAAACGCGCCGAUCGCCGGUGGAAAUAAAUGGGAAAAAAGAGAAGGGGGAAGAAAAAAAAAAAGGAAAAGAAAAAAGAGAGGAAAGAAGGGAGAAAUAAGAAGAAAUAAGAGGAAGAAGUGGAAAAGGAAAGGAAAAAAAAGAGAGAGAAAGAAAAAGAAAAGGAAAGGCACGGUUGCGUCGUCGGAAGGCAAAGAGAAGUGGAUGGUUGUAACAUUAGCGAGACGCUGAAGACGAUGAUCCCUUCGGGGCGUGUUUCUUCCAACGGUAUACGUAUAAUGUAUAGGGUGGCUUGAAUGAACGCAUCUACUUAAGGAUGGACAAUUUUUGUAAUCAAUAUCCUUUGAUCUUGUAUCUUAUCUCUUGAAAUUAUUCGAUUAAUAAAAAAAAGGAUGCACUUAUGGAUUAGAUUUUCAUCUUUAAGGAAAACUUUUUCAAUCGAUGUUCUUUGAUCUUGUUCCAUUGGAUAUUUAUUGCAUCGACGAAAAUUGAGGUAUUCGAUGCGAGUGAACGAUAUGAACGAUCUAUAAUAAAGAGAAGAGAAUUUUAAAUUAUUCGAGGAAUACGUGGUAUUUUACAAUGAACGAAGUAACGAACGGAAUUCGAACUGAGUGGUAUUUUCAAUGGAUUUGUAUUUAUGAAUCACCUUGUGUGCACGGUGGUGAGUCCACGUUUAUGGGAGAGAGCUGAUAACGUUGCGAAUUUCCUCACGUUCUUUCGCGUGGUAAUUUGCGAUUUAGCCGGAAUGAGAAGAAGGGUUGGUGGAUUGUCGUGGAUUUUUAUCAGUUUGGAGAAUUUUUUGGAAAUACACUACACUUGCAUAACACUACGAGCGAUUAAAUUGAGAAAAGGCAGUUUUUAGAAAUUAUAUUGAAGGAAGAAGAAAAUAAUGGAUAUAAUAAGGGGGGAAAAAAAUGGAGGAAAAGGAGGAGAAAGGAAAGGUAGAAAAAUAUAUCGAACUUAG